This 497-nucleotide ribosomal RNA is filed under the name uncultured bacterium. RNAcentral describes it as "partial 16S ribosomal RNA". It matches the Rfam family "Bacterial small subunit ribosomal RNA", at positions 28 to 507 of the family's 1533-position model. The record is from RNAcentral.
GAUGAACGCUGGCGGCGUGCCUAAUACAUGCGAGUCGAGCGAACAGACGAGGAGCUUGCUCCUCUGACGUUAGCGGCGGACGGGUGAGUAACACGUGGAUAACCUACCUAUAAGACUGGGAUAACUUCGGGAAACCGGAGCUAAUACCGGAUAAUAUAUUGAACCGCAUGGUUCAAUAGUGAAAGACGGUUUUGCUGUCACUUAUAGAUGGAUCCGCGCCGCAUUAGCUAGUUGGUAAGGUAACGGCUUACCAAGGCGACGAUGCGUAGCCGACCUGAGAGGGUGAUCGGCCACACUGGAGCUGAGACACGGCCCAGACUCCUACGGGAGGCAGCAGUAGGGAAUCGUCCGCAAUGGGCGAAAGCCUGACGGAGCAACGCCGCGUGAGUGAUGAAGGUCUUCGGAUCGUAAAACUCUGUUAUUAGGGAAGAACAAAUGUGUAAGUAACUAUGCACGUCUUGACGGUACCUAAUCAGAAAGCCACGGCUAACUACGUG